GAUAACCUCCGUGAAAAUGGGGAUAAUUCCGGAUAACGCAUAUUUGCUGGAAUGCUUUAUGCGUCAAAAGGAUUCGUCUGCCCAAGGAUGGGUCUGCGGCCUAUCAGGUAGUAGUGGGUGUAAUGUACCUACUAGCCAGCGACGGGUACGGGUUGUGAGAGCAAGAGCCCGGAGAUGGAUUCUGAGACAUGAAUCAAGGCCCUACGGGGCGCAGCAGGCGCGAAAACUUUACAAUGCGGGAAACCGUGAUAAGGGGACACCGAGUGCCAGCAUCAUAUGCUGGCUGUCCGGAUGUGUAAAAUACAUCCGUUAGCAAGGGCCGGGCAAGACCGGUGCCAGCCGCCGCGGUAACACCGGCGGCCCGAGUGGUGAUCGUGAUUAUUGGGUCUAAAGGGUCCGUAGCCGGUUUGGUCAGUCCUCCGGGAAAUCUGAUAGCUCAACUAUUAGGCUUUCGGGGGAUACUGCCAGACUUGGAACCGGGGAGGUAAGAGGUACUACAGGGGUAGGAGUGAAAUCUUGUAAUCCCUGUGGGACCACCUGUGGCGAAGGCGUCUUACCAGAACGGGUUCGACGGUGAGGGACGAAAGCUGGGGGCACGAACCGGAUUAGAUACCCGGGUAGUCCCAGCCGUAAACGAUGCUCGCUAGGUGUCAGGCAUGGCGCGACCGUGUCUGGUGCCGCACGAAGCCGUGAAGCGAGCCACCUGGGAAGUACGGCCGCAAGGCUGAAACUUAAAGGAAUUGGCGGGGGAGCACAACAACGGGUGGAGCCUGCGGUUUAAUUGGACUCAACGCCGGACAACUCACCGGGGGCGACAGCAAUAUGUAGGCCAAGCUGAAGACUUUGCCUGAAUCGCUGAGAGGAGGUGCAU
RNAcentral lists this ribosomal RNA (871 nucleotides) under uncultured archaeon. Its description in RNAcentral is "bacterial SSU rRNA". It matches the Rfam family "Archaeal small subunit ribosomal RNA", at positions 124 to 995 of the family's 1478-position model. The record is from RNAcentral.